GAAAUGCGAUAAGUAAUGCGAAUUGCAGAAUUUCCGUGAGUCAUCGAAUCUUUGAACGCACAUUGCGCCCAUUGGUAUUCCGAUGGGCAUGCCUGUUCGAGCGUCAUUAUCCUCCCUCAAACCCCGUGUUUGGUGUUGGACCGCGUUGGUCGAGCGACCAACUGGUCUCAAAGAUAAUGACGGCGUCCGUGGGACCCUCGGUGCAACGAGCUUUUAACGAGCACGCGUCGAGUUUCAAGGACCCUCCGGGCCGGUCUAGACCUCUAUAUCUUUCUCAGGUUGACCUCGGAUCAGGUAGGAAUACCCGCUGAACUUAA
This 317-nucleotide unclassified non-coding RNA is filed under the name uncultured Chaetothyriales. RNAcentral's name for it is "sequence contains ITS1". The stretch from base 1 to 106 matches the Rfam family "5.8S ribosomal RNA", at positions 50 to 154 of the family's 154-position model. The record is from RNAcentral. Lineage: Eukaryota; Fungi; Ascomycota; Eurotiomycetes; Chaetothyriales.